AGGGGGAAAAUUAAUAAUUUAAAUUUAAUAAAAAAAAUUUUAAUAUUAAAAAGAAAAAAUGGGGGUUUAAGUAUUUUUAAUAGAAAAAAUUAAUAUUUUUAUAGUUAAAUAUUACUGUAAAGGAAUUUAUAAAUAAAUGAAAUAAAAUUAAUUAAAAAGUAAAUUUUAAUUAUUGUAUCUUGUGUAUCAGAGUUUAUUAAAUAAUAAUAAUUUAUUUAAAUAAAUCUCGAAUUUAAAAGAGUUAAUUAAUUAAUAAAGUUAAUGUUGAAUAAUUAUUUUAAAUAAUUAAUUAGAAAUGAAAUGUUAAUCGUUUUUAAAUAUAUCUAGUUUUUUUAGAAAAAAAUUUAAUUUUAAAUUUAAAUAAUUUUAUGAUUAUUUAAUUAAUUAUGAAAAUUUAAAUUWUAAUAUUUUAGGGGAUAAGCUUUAAAUUAAAAAUUUAUAAUUAAUUAAUUUUAAAUUAAAAUUUUUAAAAUUUAUAUUGUUUAAAAAUUAUAAUUUGUUAUAAAAAAUUUUAUUUUUAAUAAAAUUUAAAAUAAAAAAAUUUAAAUUUUUAUGAAAAAAUAAUUUAUAAUUAAAUAAAAUUAGAAAUAAUGAUAAAAUUAGUAUAAUAUAGUAAAUUAAAUUAAAUUUAUAAAUAAGUAAAUUAAAGGAAUUCGGCAAAAUUUUAUAUUCACUUGUUUAUCAAAAACAUGUCUUUUUGAUAAUAAUUUAAAGUCUAAUCUGCCCACUGAUAAAAUAUUAAAGGGCUGCAGUAUAUUGACUGUACAAAGGUAGCAUAAUCAUUAGUCUUUUAAUUGAAGACUUGUAUGAAAGAUUUGAUGAAAUAUAAACUGUCUCUAAUUUAUAAUUAGAAAUUAAUUUUUUAGUUAAAAAGCUAAAAUAAAAUUAAAAGACGAGAAGACCCUAUAGAGUUUUAUAUUUUAUUUUUUUAAUAUUAAAAAUAUAAUUAAAUUAUAUUAAGUAAAUAAAAUAUUAUGUUGGGGUGAUAGAAAAAUUUAAUAAACUUUUUUUUUAAAAAUUAACAUAAAUAAGUGAUUAAUUGAUCCAUUAAUAAUGAUUAAAAGAAAAAAUUACCUUAGGGAUAACAGCGUAAUAUUUUUUUUUAGUACAAAUAAAAAAGWAAGUUUGCGACCUCGAUGUUGGAUUAAGAUAAAAUUUAAAUGCAAAAGUUUAAAAUUUUGAUCUGUUCGAUCAUUAAAAUCUUACAUGAUCUGAGUUCAAACCGGUGUAAGCCAGGUUGGUUUCUAUCUUUAAUAAAAUAAAAUAUUUUAGUACGAAAGGAUCAAAUAUUUAAAAUAAUUUUAUUUAAUUGAAUAUUAAUAAUAUAAUUU
Molecule: ribosomal RNA, 1331 nt
Filed under: Junonia iphita (chocolate pansy)
Lineage: Eukaryota; Metazoa; Arthropoda; Insecta; Lepidoptera; Nymphalidae
Description: 16S ribosomal RNA
Source: RNAcentral